RNAcentral lists this ribosomal RNA (406 nucleotides) under uncultured bacterium. RNAcentral describes it as "partial 16S ribosomal RNA". It matches the Rfam family "Bacterial small subunit ribosomal RNA", at positions 30 to 526 of the family's 1533-position model. The record is from RNAcentral.
AUUGAACGCUGGCGGCAGGCCUAACACAUGCAAGUCGAACGAGUGGCGGAAGGGUGAGUAAUUUCUGGGAAACUGACUGAUGGAGGGGGAUACCUACUGGAAACGGUAGAUAAUACAGCAUCCCAUCAGAUGUGCACAGAGGGGUUUAGCUUGUUGGUGGGUGAACGGCUCACCAGGGCGACACUCCCUAGCUGGUCUGAGAGGAUGACCAGCCACACUGGAACUGAGACACGGUCCAGACUCCUACGGGAGGCAGCAGUGGGGAAUAUUGCACAAUGGGCGCAAGCCUGAUUCAGCCAUGCCGCGUGUAUGAAGAAGGCCUUCGGGUUGUAAAGUACUUUCAGCGGGGAGGCGUUACCCGCAGAAGAAGCACCGGCUAACUCCGUGCCAGCAGCCGCGGUAAUAC